RNAcentral lists this ribosomal RNA (253 nucleotides) under uncultured bacterium. Its description in RNAcentral is "partial 16S ribosomal RNA". It matches the Rfam family "Bacterial small subunit ribosomal RNA", at positions 524 to 776 of the family's 1533-position model. The record is from RNAcentral.
UACGUAGGGUGCGAGCGUUAAUCGGAAUUACUGGGCGUAAAGCGUGCGCAGGCGGUUUUGUAGGCCAGAUGUGAAAGCCCCGGGCUUAACCUGGGAAUGGCAUUUGGGACUGCAAGGCUGGAGUUUGGCAGAGGAGACUGGAAUUCCUGGUGUAGCAGUGAAAUGCGUAGAUAUCAGGAGGAAUACCGAUGGCGAAGGCAGGUCUCUGGGCUAUAACUGACGCUCAUGCACGAAAGCGUGGGGAGCAAACAGG